Molecule: ribosomal RNA, 1344 nt
Filed under: uncultured bacterium
Lineage: Bacteria
Description: 16S ribosomal RNA
Rfam family: Bacterial small subunit ribosomal RNA
Source: RNAcentral
GACGAACGCUGGCGGCGUGCUUAACACAUGCAAGUCGAACGGAAAGGCCCUGCUUUUGUGGGGUGCUCGAGUGGCGAACGGGUGAGCAACACGUGAGUAACCUGCCCUUGACUUUGGGAUAACUUCAGGAAACUGGGGCUAAUACCGGAUAGGAGCUCCUGCUGCAUGGUGGGGGUUGGAAAGUUUCGGCGGUUGGGGAUGGACUCGCGGCUUAUCAGCUUGUUGGUGGGGUAGUGGCUUACCAAGGCUUUGACGGGUAGCCGGCCUGAGAGGGUGACCGGCCACAUUGGGACUGAGAUACGGCCCAGACUCCUACGGGAGGCAGCAGUGGGGAAUAUUGCACAAUGGGCGGAAGCCUGAUGCAGCAACGCCGCGUGCGGGAUGACGGCCUUCGGGUUGUAAACCGCUUUCGCCUGUGACGAAGCGUGAGUGACGGUAAUGGGUAAAGAAGCACCGGCUAACUACGUGCCAGCAGCCGCGGUGAUACGUAGGGUGCGAGCGUUGUCCGGAUUUAUUGGGCGUAAAGGGCUCGUAGGUGGUUGAUCGCGUCGGAAGUGUAAUCUUGGGGCUUAACCCUGAGCGUGCUUUCGAUACGGGUUGACUUGAGGAAGGUAGGGGAGAAUGGAAUUCCUGGGUGGAGCGGUGGAAUGCGCAGAUAUCAGGAGGAACACCAGUGGCGAAGGCGGUUCUCUGGGCCUUUCCUGACGCUGAGGAGCGAAAGCGUGGGGAGCGAACAGGCUUAGAUACCCUGGUAGUCCACGCUGUAAACGGUGGGUACUAGGUGUGGGGUCCAUUCCACGGGUUCCGUGCCGUAGCUAACGCUUUAAGUACCCCGCCUGGGGAGUACGGCCGCAAGGCUAAAACUCAAAGGAAUUGACGGGGCCCCGCACAAGCGGCGGAGCAUGCGGAUUAAUUCGAUGCAACGCGUAGAACCUUACCUGGGUUUGACAUGGAUCGGGAGUGCUCAGAGAUGGGUGUGCCUCUUUUGGGGUCGGUUCACAGGUGGUGCAUGGCUGUCGUCAGCUCGUGUCGUGAGAUGUUGGGUUAAGUCCCGCAACGAGCGCAACCCUUGUUCACUGUUGCCAGCACGUUAUGGUGGGGACUCAGUGGAGACCGCCGGGGUCAACUCGGAGGAAGGUGGGGAUGACGUCAAGUCAUCAUGCCCCUUAUGUCCAGGGCUUCACGCAUGCUACAAUGGCUGGUACAGAGAGUGGCGAGCCUGUGAGGGUGAGCGAAUCUCGGAAAGCCGGUCUCAGUUCGGAUUGGGGUCUGCAACUCGACCUCAUGAAGUCGGAGUCGCUAGUAAUCGCAGAUCAGCAACGCUGCGGUGAAUACGUUCCCGGG